Pelobates cultripes (western spadefoot toad) is the source of this 268-nucleotide non-coding RNA. NCBI's taxonomy places the organism in Eukaryota, Metazoa, Chordata, Amphibia, Anura, Pelobatidae. The record is from the annotation of a GenBank genome assembly.
GGAUGUGAUGGCGAUCUGGCUGCGACAUCUGUCACCCCAUUAAUCGCUAGGGUUGAUUCAGCUGAUCUGACUGGCUAGGCGGGUGUCCCCUUCCUCUCUCACCGCUUCAUGUCUGUCCCUCCCGAAGCUGAGUGCCCAAUCUUCGAUCCAGGGUAUACCAGUAGCUGCCCCCCUGCUAGAACCAAACAAACACCGAGGUUAUUUGGGAAUUAGAGUUCCUUAAGAGGUUAAAAACUACCAACUGUAGUUCUGAAAACCAAUGAUGGUU